Molecule: long non-coding RNA, 174 nt
Organism: Haliotis rubra (blacklip abalone)
Lineage: Eukaryota; Metazoa; Mollusca; Gastropoda; Lepetellida; Haliotidae
Exons: 3
Source: RefSeq, a predicted model, not a curated record
AUGACGAACCCACUGACGUCACGGAACGUGGCACGUGCAUGCAUGUUGGAUACAUGUCACUAAUAUCUGAGUUUAAAUCCUUAUGUGUCUACACAGGUUUGAUAAAUUUAGAUUUAAAAGUCUUGUAUGCACAGUUUCGUUAUGUGCCUAGUUAAUAUAUCAAUUAGUUCACCG